AUUGAACGCUGGCGGCGUGCCUAACACAUGCAAGUCGAGCGGCAGCGCGGGAGCAAUCCUGGCGGCGAGCGGCGGACGGGUGAGUAACGCUUGGGAAUCUGCCUGUUAGUGGGGGACAACCCGGGGAAACUCGGGCUAAUACCGCAUACGCACUACGGUGGAAAGCCGGGGACCGCAAGGCCUGGCGCUAACAGAUGAGCCCAAGUCGGAUUAGCUAGUUGGUAGGGUAACGGCCACCAAGGCGACGAUCCGUAACUGGUCUGAGAGGACGACCAGUCACACCGGAACUGAGACACGGUCCGGACUCCUACGGGAGGCAGCAGUGGGGAAUAUUGGACAAUGGGGGAAACCCUGAUCCAGCGACGCCGCGUGGGUGAAGAAGGCCUGCGGGUUGUAAAGCCCUUUCAGUGGGGAAGAAAAGCCUCGACCUAACACGUCGGGGUCUUGACGUAACCCCAUAGAAGAAGCACCGGCUAACUCUGUGCCAGCCGCCG
Molecule: ribosomal RNA, 494 nt
Filed under: uncultured bacterium
Lineage: Bacteria
Description: bacterial SSU rRNA
Rfam family: Bacterial small subunit ribosomal RNA
Source: RNAcentral